CAGCAGCCGCGGUAAGGCAGAGGAUGCAAGCGUUAUCCUAAAUGAUUGGGCAUAAAGCAUCUGUAGGUGGCUUUUCAAGUCCGCCGUCAAAUCCCAGGGCUCAACCCUGGACAGGCGGUGGAAACUACCAAGCUGGAGUACGGUAGGGGCAAAGGGAAUUUCCGGUGGAGCGGUGAAAUGCGUUGAGAUUGGAAAGAACACCAACGACGAAAGCACUCUGCUGGGCCGACACUGACAUUGAGAGACGAACGCUAGGGGAGCAAAUGGGAUUAGAUACCCCCGUAGUCCCUGUCUCUUAUAC
This 301-nucleotide ribosomal RNA is filed under the name uncultured bacterium. RNAcentral describes it as "partial 16S ribosomal RNA". It matches the Rfam family "Bacterial small subunit ribosomal RNA", at positions 509 to 807 of the family's 1533-position model. The record is from RNAcentral.